CGAAGGCUGGAGGAGGACAACGCCCAGCUCGAGCUCCACAUCCGCGAGUGGUACAGGAAGCAAGCUCCCAGCGCCUCCAAGGACUACAGCUCCUACUACCAGACCAUCGAGCAGCUCCAAAACCAGAUCAUUUCUGCCACUGUGGACAACAACAGGAUGCUUCUGGACAUCGAUAACAGCAAGAUGACUGCUGAUGACUUCCGAAUGAAGUAUGAGAAUGAACUGGUCAUCCGUCAAACUGUGGAGUCUGACAUCAAUGGCUUGAGAAAUAUGCUGGAUGACCUGAC
Lagopus leucura (white-tailed ptarmigan) is the source of this 287-nucleotide long non-coding RNA. RefSeq lists it as uncharacterized. The record is from RefSeq and is a predicted model, not a curated record. Lineage: Eukaryota; Metazoa; Chordata; Aves; Galliformes; Phasianidae. The transcript has 3 exons.